Monodelphis domestica (gray short-tailed opossum) is the source of this 2926-nucleotide long non-coding RNA. RefSeq lists it as uncharacterized. NCBI's taxonomy places the organism in Eukaryota, Metazoa, Chordata, Mammalia, Didelphimorphia, Didelphidae. The record is from RefSeq and is a predicted model, not a curated record.
AUGGCUUUUAGGUUUAAUGCCUGGGAUGAAAGAGGCCAGGCAGUCAGCACCAUCUUAUGGCAAAUUAAGAAAAAAAACUUCCCAAGGUUCCAUCAGGUGCUAAAAAGAAGAGAACUGCCCAUCUCCAUGAUGAAGGCUGUGUGAAAAUGAAGCUAAAUCUCAUCUAGGUGUGGAAGGGAACCUCAUUUACCUGUUAGCUUCUGUCUCCCUCCUUCCUUCCCUCCCUUUCUCCCUCUGCUCCCCUCUCCCCUCCCCUCUUCUCCUUUCCUCUCCUCUUCUCUCUCCUCUGCUCUCCUCUCCUCUCCCCCCUUCAUCCCUCCUUCCCUCCCUUCUCUCCUCUCCUGAUUCCUCCCACCUUUCACACCCCCUCAAAGAAGUUAGGAAGCUGGAUGAGGUUCCAAUCGGUUUUAUAAAAUGAGAAUGCAGCCAGUGAUUUGUUCUUGCCUGGCCCUGGGGCUCAGAGCCCAAGGUAUCAGAUUCUGUCUCAUUGCUUCCCUGAGGCCAACUUUAGCUCUAUUCUGGGAAGCACAGAACUCAGUCAAGGCUUUAGGACUGGAGCUGCAGCCCAUGUGUGGAAGAUCUCUUAGCCCGUGGUCUUAAUCUAGUCUUUCCUGAGCUCCCCUCCAUGUGGUGCCUGGACUUACUGAAUCCGUCCAUACCGAGCUUUUGUGAUGAGCACAGUAAGCCCAUGGAGAAGCCCCUGAACAUGCUUCUAUGCCAAUCUCCCAACAGUGACCAAAAGUAACCAGGAGGCAGUUGGGAGACUGGAAGAGAAGAUGGCUGGCCAUGGAGUGAAAGGAAGAGAAAAGAACUCCACUGACCUCCAGGACAGACUCUUCCCAGAGAUCCAUCUUUUAUACUAUAAUUGAAAAGAAGAAGAAAAGGGGUCAGCAAAGCUAACAUCAACAAUGCCUGCUGUAAUAUACAGUGCUCCACCUUUGGAAAGAAGUUGGGGGGUGGGUCUUCUCAUAUCUCUUCUUGGAGUCCAAGUUUGGUCAUUAUCAUUUUUGCAGUAUUCAUUUUCAUUGUUUUGCUGUGGUGGUGGGCCUUCUUUCUGCUUACUUUGUUGCAAUCAUUCUGUAUAUUGUGUUCCUGGUUCUACUCACUUCACUUUCCAUCAGUUCAUACAAAUCUUUCCAUACUUCUCUGUUCCCCACAUUUGUCUUUCUAAUACUCUUUCACACUAGGGUGCUACAAUUUUCUUAGCCAUCCCCUAAUCGACAGGUAUUUACUUUAUGCCCACUUCUUUGCUACCACAAAAAGUGCUGCUAAAAAUAUUUUGGGUUCUCUUUGUUUAUGAAUUCUUUGAAAUACAUGCUCAGCAGAGGAAUCUCUGGGUCAAAAGGAUAUGGGAAGAGGAAGCUAAUUGGCACAGUGGAUUGAGAGCCAGACCGAGAGACGGGAGGUCCUGUAUUCAAAUCUGGCCUUAGAUAUUUCCUAGCUGUGAGACUCUAGGCAAGUCACUUAACCCUCAUUGCCUAGCCCUUAUUACUCUUCUGCCUUGGAACCAACACACAGUAUUGAUUCUAAGACAAAAGGUAAGGAUUUUUUUAAAAGAAUAUGGUACAUAGUAGGUGCUUAAUAAAUGCUUAUUCCUUUUUCUAUCCUCCCUACCCCUUUCCCACAUAGGUGAGUUUCAUCAACUGAGCUUUGUUUAUCUGUUGUUUCCAGUUCUUCAUGACCCCUUGAAGGGUUUUUUUGGCAAAGAUGAGGAAUUAUUUGCCAUUUCCUUCUCCAGCUCAUUUUACAGAUGAGGAAACUGAGGCCAACAGUGUUAAGUGACUUGCCCAGGAUCACAUAGCUAGUAAGUGCCUGAGACCAGAAUUGACCUCCAGAAGAGAAGUCUUGGUGUUUUCAGGUGAGGUACUCUAUCCACUAUGCCACCUAGCUGCUCACAAACAUUUCAGUCACUUUAUUUGCCAUCAUUCCAAAUUGCUUCCCAGAAUGGUUUCUUCCCAAUUCAGAGCACCACCCAUAAGGCAUUAAUGGCCUCUUUUCCCCAGUCCUUGGACGCUGACUUCCCAUCUUUUGUAUCUCUGCCAAUUUUCUAGAUUCGAGAUGAAACCUCAGAGUUGUUUUGAUGUCCAUUUCUCUUAUUUACUUGUGAUCUGGAACAUUCUUUCCUAUGCCCAGCCUGUCCCUUUCUAGAAGAGAAUCCUGCAAUUUAUGAAGGGUGAGGAGUGACUUGUCUAAGGUCACGCGGGUCAGACGCAGCAGGGAUGAGACCUGAAGCUUGUCUCCUAAUUCUAAGAAGGGUUCUUUUUCCUAAUAGGGCAUUUUACUAAGCCAGAAGGGAUAGUCCCUGACCUUUGAAGUGGAGAAAUUAAAAUGCACACAUGUGAAUUUCUUUAAAAGCUAAAGGGUUUAAUAAUUGUUGGAGCCAGCAUUAAGAGAGCUGUCAGCGGGAAGUCAAUGGCCAAUUGCAGGGCAGCAAUAGAAUGGCGAAGGUUUGGAGAUGCCCAGAUGGCUUGCCACGCACGUGUGGUAGGUAAGUUAACUUCCCAUCACUUUACAAGGGAGAGCAGACAGCCUUAUAGACUUAAUUAGUGACUUUCCCCCAGAACCCCUGAGUGUCAGAUCCCCUGCCAGCUACCACCAUAAUCUCAUUAGUCUGACUGCUGAAGAGGGCCAAAGAGCUGAUCCCUGGAGCAGAUUAUGUGAACCGCUUCAUAACUGCUGCAAAGUACCACUGAGCAUCUUGGAAGGCUGGGGAAGGGCAGCUUAGUCCUUGGCAGGUUCAGGAGAGAAUUUGAAAACCUAAUCAGAAAGUGUGUGAGGAAGAGUCCCUCCUCUCUCCAAUUUAGCCUCUGUACCUAUACGUCUGUUCAUGUUACUCACCUGCUCAAGAAUCCCCAGUGGCUCCCUAAUUUAUUUUCUUUAUUCUUUAUUCCUCUAAGAAUAAAGAAAUCUGCUGCCGAGCAUUUAA